This 251-nucleotide long non-coding RNA is filed under the name Phoenix dactylifera (date palm). RNAcentral's name for it is "long non-coding RNA (PDAC_LNC011312)". Lineage: Eukaryota; Viridiplantae; Streptophyta; Magnoliopsida; Arecales; Arecaceae. The record is from RNAcentral.
UCAAAAAGUUACUUAAACUUUUAUAUCAUGCUCUUGGUGCUUGUUCUAAAUUAAAUAGUGCUUUAUCAUAUCUGUAAUGAAUAUUUUUCAAAUAUAGGUGGUAUUUAUUUUUUUUUCGUUUUUACUUUCUUAUGCUCUAUACUCUAUUUGUUCCCUAUCCGGUGGAGUUGGAAGGGACACGAGGUACUACCACUAGCCUCCCUCUUGUGCCGUCCCUAAUAUACCCUACACCGAAUAGUUGGGUCAAAUAG